GUGGGGAAUAUUGCACAAUGGGGGAAACCCUGAUGCAGCGACGCAGCGUGCGGGAUGACGGCCUUCGGGUUGUAAACCGCUUUCAGCAGGGAAGAAGCGCAAGUGACGGUACCUGCAGAAGAAGUACCGGCUAACUACGUGCCAGCAGCCGCGGUAAUACGUAGGGUACGAGCGUUGUCCGGAAUUAUUGGGCGUAAAGAGCUCGUAGGUGGUUGGUCACGUCUGCUGUGGAAACGCAACGCUUAACGUUGCGCGUGCAGUGGGUACGGGCUGACUAGAGUGCAGUAGGGGAGUCUGGAAUUCCUGGUGUAGCGGUGAAAUGCGCAGAUAUCAGGAGGAACACCGGUGGCGAAGGCGGGACUCUGGGCUGUAACUGACACUGAGGAGCGAAAGCAUGGGGAGCGAACAGGAUUAGAAACCCUAGUAGUCC
This 430-nucleotide ribosomal RNA is filed under the name uncultured bacterium. RNAcentral describes it as "bacterial SSU rRNA". It matches the Rfam family "Bacterial small subunit ribosomal RNA", at positions 354 to 796 of the family's 1533-position model. The record is from RNAcentral.